AUUGAACGCUGGCGGAAUGCUUUACACAUGCAAGUCGAACGGCAGCACGGGGGCAGCCCUGGUGGCGAGUGGCGAACGGGUGAGUAAUACAUCGGAACGUGCCCGUUCGUGGGGGAUAACGUAGCGAAAGUUACGCUAAUACCGCAUACGAUCUGAGGAUGAAAGCGGGGGACCUUCGGGCCUCGCGCGCUCGGAGCGGCCGAUGUCAGAUUAGGUAGUUGGUGGGGUAAAGGCCUACCAAGCCGACGAUCUGUAGCUGGUCUGAGAGGACGACCAGCCACACUGGGACUGAGACACGGCCCAGACUCCUACGGGAGGCAGCAGUGGGGAAUUUUGGACAAUGGGCGCAAGCCUGAUCCAGCCAUGCCGCGUGCAGGACGAAGGCCUUCGGGUUGUAAACUGCUUUUGUACGGAACGAAAAGGCUCUGGCUAAUACCUGGGGCUCAUGACGGUACCGUAAGAAUAAGCACCGGCUAACUACGUG
This 484-nucleotide ribosomal RNA is filed under the name uncultured bacterium. RNAcentral describes it as "partial 16S ribosomal RNA". It matches the Rfam family "Bacterial small subunit ribosomal RNA", at positions 30 to 507 of the family's 1533-position model. The record is from RNAcentral.